GUGCUUGCUUUAGCAACACAUAUACUAAAACUGGAACAUACAGAGGAGAUUAGCAUGGCCCCUGCAGAAGGACGAUAGUCAAAUCCGUGAUGCAUUCCCUAUUUUU
Small nuclear RNA from Nycticebus coucang (slow loris), 106 nucleotides. NCBI's taxonomy places the organism in Eukaryota, Metazoa, Chordata, Mammalia, Primates, Lorisidae. The record is from RefSeq and is a predicted model, not a curated record.